AACGAACGCUGGCGGCAUGCCUAACACAUGCAAGUCGAACGAGACCUUCGGGUCUAGUGGCGCACGGGUGCGUAACGCGUGGGAACCUGCCUUUAGGUUCGGAAUAACUCAGAGAAAUUUGAGCUAAUACCGGAUGAUGUCUUCGGACCAAAGAUUUAUCGCCUUUAGAUGGGCCCGCGUUGGAUUAGCUAGUUGGUGGGGUAAAGGCCUACCAAGGCGACGAUCCAUAGCUGGUCUGAGAGGAUGAUCAGCCACACUGGGACUGAGACACGGCCCAGACUCCUACGGGAGGAAGCAGUGGGGAAUAUUGGAAAAUGGGCGAAAGCCUGAUCCAGCAAUGCCGCGUGAGUGAUGAAGGCCUUAGGGUUGUAAAGCUCUUUUACCCGAGAUGAUAAUGACAGUAUCGGGAGAAUAAGCUCCGGCUAACUCCGUG
RNAcentral lists this ribosomal RNA (433 nucleotides) under uncultured bacterium. RNAcentral's name for it is "partial 16S ribosomal RNA". It matches the Rfam family "Bacterial small subunit ribosomal RNA", at positions 29 to 507 of the family's 1533-position model. The record is from RNAcentral.